Molecule: ribosomal RNA, 254 nt
Filed under: uncultured bacterium
Lineage: Bacteria
Description: partial 16S ribosomal RNA
Rfam family: Bacterial small subunit ribosomal RNA
Source: RNAcentral
GACGUAGGGCGCGAGCGUUGUCCGGAUUUAUUGGGCGUAAAGAGCUCGUAGGCGGCUUGUCGCGUCGAAUGUGAAAAACCCACGGCUCAACUGUGGGCUUGCAUUCGAUACGGGCAGGCUAGAGUUCGGUAGGGGAGACUGGAAUUCCUGGUGUAGCGGUGAAAUGCGCAGAUAUCAGGAGGAACACCGGUGGCGAAGGCGGGUCUCUGGGCCGAUACUGACGCUGAGGAGCGAAAGCGUGGGGAGCGAACAGG